Molecule: unclassified non-coding RNA, 1835 nt
Filed under: Hevea brasiliensis (rubber tree)
Lineage: Eukaryota; Viridiplantae; Streptophyta; Magnoliopsida; Malpighiales; Euphorbiaceae
Source: RNAcentral
CUUCGGUCAGUUAAGCGAGAUGGUACCUUUCCAAAGCUGCUUGGUGAUUCCAAUGGCGAGCUCUUCACAUCUACUUCUCGGGUAAGGAAAAAGAAAAUAACUUUAUAUGCAUUUAACAAGCAUUGGCUCAUAUUCUAAAUCUAUGGGCUCUGUGAACAAAAUCAUAUGUGAGAGGAACAAGGAUUUGAUGAGGAAGAUGAGUUGUUGAUGAUGGUACAGGGUUCGGAGUUAGGAUGGAGGCCCGAAAAUCUUGUGAUCACUUGGGUUCGCUGUCCUCCGAUCUCUCUGACAUCCCAACUCUUAAUAAUCCCUGCAACAGGUUUGAUUUUCAUCUCCCUCUCCCUGUGUUCCGCUUCAAAACUUGAAUUCCAGUCACAACUUCACAACUUCCAGUUCCAGCUUCAAAGGAAUUUAAUUGAAAAGAUACUUAGGCUUUGUUUGCUGUAAUAGAUUGACCCAUUAAUGUUAUUUUAUGGAAUUGCUAUUGUAUAUUUAAAAUUUGAAUCAUAUUUGUUGUGGUGGAAAUGGAACCAAGCAAAACCUCAAAUUUCUUGUAUUUUCUAAUCCAUGGAACAAUUGUUUACUUUCUUAGGUGCCACCAUCCCGGUGAAAAUUGGCUGUGCUUGUCAUGUAAGGAGGUUCUUUGCAGCCGUUUUGUGAAUAAGCAUAUGUUGCGACAUUAUCGUCAAAUGAAUCAUUGUGUGGUUCUCAGCUAUAGGUACUCAUUGACAAUUGUUUUCACAAUUCAAUUGCGUUCUUCUUUUAAAAUUCAUCAUCUUCAGGAUACCAAAUUAGGGUUUUUCUUUUGACUUCUUGUUUAAUUUUGAAAACAGUGACCUGUCAGUCUGGUGUUUUGCCUGUGAUGCAUAUUUAGAUGCCCAGGUGAUUAUGCAGUUGAGGCCUGUGUACGAGACCGCAUACAUCCUGAAAUAUGGCGAGGCACCUCCUUUUCGGACAGUUGAGCUUCCAAAAGAUAGCACAUCAUCUAAUAAUUAGCUUUAUCUGUGCUAGUUGGGGUUUGCUCAUGGUUAAUUGUAGUUGAAAGCCAUCGAUAAUGCCUAAACUCUUUCCUAAAAAACAGGGGGGAAAAGAAAGAAGCUCUAUCACAGAACUGGAGCUGGUUUUGGUUGUCCACUUAUAUGUAUGUAUGUGUGUUUGUGUGUGCAGGUUGGGAGCUGCCAAGGCUGAAUUAGGAUUAAUUCAUGUUACUAACAAGUUCAAUCCAAGAUAUGAAAGCCGAAGCUUUGAUUAUAUCAUAAUCCAGUGUACAUGAUUAUCUACUUUAUGAAUGAGUUGAUUUUUCUGCCUUGUGGCAAUCCAUUGAAAUUUAUGUAAAAACUGCGCAUGAUAGUUGUUUCUGUCCUAAGGCCUGCUUGCCAGCUGAGAGAUCAGAAGGAAGUUGAUAAUUAUUUUUAUGCUUCAUUUUCCCUUUAUUUUUGUUUGGUACAAUGGGCUCCGACUGAGAUUUGAACUCGAGACCUUACAAUUCUGAAAAUGAUUUCAAUGCCAUUAAACUAAAGCUCAUAUCUCCAAUGGCAUUUUUGUCAUGCUGUGAGAUCUUCCCACCUUGAAUUCAAUGUCUUGUAACGCUUUGUGGCGAAGAAAGGACUCAUAAAAGUGAACAAUUUUCUUUUCUUGCCAAGACAGCUAAGUUUCUUCCGUAUCCUUAUUUUCUUUUUCCUUGAAGAAAAUAGAGAUUUUACUUUGAGCACCAAAGUUGCAGUCUGCACAAGAUUUUCUAGGUGAAGGAAUCCUUCGGUGGCUGGUGCAUAGAUGGAAGAAUGUAUGACAGUUACACUUCUUAUUAUCUAUGGACAUUACACUUCUUAUUAUCG